ACCGGAGGAAGGUGGGGAUGACGUCAAAUCAUCAUGCCCCUUAUGAUUUGGGCUACACACGUGCUACAAUGGACAAUACAAAGGGUAGCGAAACCGCGAGGUCAAGCAAAUCCCAUAAAGUUGUUCUCAGUUCGGAUUGUAGUCUGCAACUCGACUAUAUGAAGCUGGAAUCGCUAGUAAUCGUAGAUCAGCAUGCUACGGUGAAUACGUUCCCGGGUCUUGUACACACCGCCCGUCACACCACGAGAGUUUGUAACACCCGAAGCCGGUGGAGUAACCAUUUGGAGCUAGCCGUCGAAGGUGGGACAAAUGAUUGGGGUGAAGUCGUAACAAGGUAGCCGUAUCGGAAGGUGCGGCUGGAUCACCUCCUUUCUAAGGA
This 379-nucleotide ribosomal RNA is filed under the name Staphylococcus epidermidis. RNAcentral's name for it is "bacterial SSU rRNA". It matches the Rfam family "Bacterial small subunit ribosomal RNA", at positions 1162 to 1533 of the family's 1533-position model. The record is from RNAcentral. Lineage: Bacteria; Bacillati; Bacillota; Bacilli; Caryophanales; Staphylococcaceae.